Molecule: ribosomal RNA, 468 nt
Filed under: uncultured bacterium
Lineage: Bacteria
Description: partial 16S ribosomal RNA
Rfam family: Bacterial small subunit ribosomal RNA
Source: RNAcentral
GACGAACGCUGGCGGCGUGCUUAACACAUGCAAGUCGAACGGAAAGGCCCUGCUUUUGUGGGGUGCUCGAGUGGCGAACGGGUGAGUAACACGUGAGUAACCUGCCCUUGACUUUGGGAUAACUUCAGGAAACUGGGGCUAAUACCGGAUAGGAGCUCCUGCUGCAUGGUGGGGGUUGGAAAGUUUCGGCGGUUGGGGAUGGACUCGCGGCUUAUCAGCUUGUUGGUGGGGUAGUGGCUUACCAAGGCUUUGACGGGUAGCCGGCCUGAGAGGGUGACCGGCCACAUUGGGACUGAGAUACGGCCCAGACUCCUACGGGAGGCAGCAGUGGGGAAUAUUGCACAAUGGGCGAAAGCCUGAUGCAGCGACGCCGCGUGAGGGAUGACGGCCUUCGGGUUGUAAACCUCUUUCAGCAGGGAAGAAGCGAAAGUGACGGUACCUGCAGAAGAAGCACCGGCUAACUACGUG